This 853-nucleotide ribosomal RNA is filed under the name Salmonella enterica. RNAcentral's name for it is "partial 23S ribosomal RNA". It matches the Rfam family "Bacterial large subunit ribosomal RNA", at positions 161 to 1053 of the family's 2925-position model. The record is from RNAcentral. Lineage: Bacteria; Pseudomonadati; Pseudomonadota; Gammaproteobacteria; Enterobacterales; Enterobacteriaceae.
AAUCCAUAGGUUAAUGAGGCGAACCGGGGGAACUGAAACAUCUAAGUACCCCGAGGAAAAGAAAUCAACCGAGAUUCCCCCAGUAGCGGCGAGCGAACGGGGAGGAGCCCAGAGCCUGAAUCAGCAUGUGUGUUAGUGGAAGCGUCUGGAAAGGCGCGCGAUACAGGGUGACAGCCCCGUACACAAAAGCGCAUGUGCUGUGAGCUCGAUGAGUAGGGCGGGACACGUGGUAUCCUGUCUGAAUAUGGGGGGACCAUCCUCCAAGGCUAAAUACUCCUGACUGACCGAUAGUGAACCAGUACCGUGAGGGAAAGGCGAAAAGAACCCCGGCGAGGGGAGUGAAAAAGAACCUGAAACCGUGUACGUACAAGCAGUGGGAGCACCCUUUGGGGUGUGACUGCGUACCUUUUGUAUAAUGGGUCAGCGACUUAUAUUCUGUAGCAAGGUUAACCGUAUAGGGGAGCCGGAGGGAAACCGAGUCUUAACCGGGCGUUAAGUUGCAGGGUAUAGACCCGAAACCCGGUGAUCUAGCCAUGGGCAGGUUGAAGGUUGGGUAACACUAACUGGAGGACCGAACCGACUAAUGUUGAAAAAUUAGCGGAUGACCUGUGGCUGGGGGUGAAAGGCCAAUCAAACCGGGAGAUAGCUGGUUCUCCCCGAAAGCUAUUUAGGUAGCGCCUCGUGAAUUCAUCUCCGGGGGUAGAGCACUGUUUCGGCUAGGGGGCCAUCCCGGCUUACCAACCCGAUGCAAACUGCGAAUACCGGAGAAUGUUAUCACGGGAGACACACGGCGGGUGCUAACGUCCGUCGUGAAGAGGGAAACAACCCAGACCGCCAGCUAAGGUCCCAAAGU